RNAcentral lists this unclassified non-coding RNA (236 nucleotides) under fungal sp. Its description in RNAcentral is "partial internal transcribed spacer region". The stretch from base 1 to 46 matches the Rfam family "Eukaryotic small subunit ribosomal RNA", at positions 1786 to 1831 of the family's 1831-position model. Lineage: Eukaryota; Fungi. The record is from RNAcentral.
AAGUCGUAACAAGGUCUCCGUUGGUGAACCAGCGGAGGGAUCAUUAUUAGAGCCUAAAAACUCCCUAAACCAUUGUGAACUUACCUAUCGUUGCUUCGGUGGGCGGCCCCUCCGGGGGCCCUCUAGGCCGCAAGGCGCCCGCCGGAGGUUAUUUACAUACACUCUUGUCUUCUACCGUCACUUCUGAGUACAACAAAAAAUAAUCAAAACUUUCAACAACGGAUCUCUUGGCUCUA